This 525-nucleotide ribosomal RNA is filed under the name Ossubtus xinguense. RNAcentral describes it as "partial 16S large subunit ribosomal RNA". It matches the Rfam family "Bacterial large subunit ribosomal RNA", at positions 1848 to 2571 of the family's 2925-position model. Lineage: Eukaryota; Metazoa; Chordata; Actinopteri; Characiformes; Serrasalmidae. The record is from RNAcentral.
CGAGGUCCUGCCUGCCCAGUGACACCCAGUUAAACGGCCGCGGUAUUUUGACCGUGCUAAGGUAGCGCAAUCACUUGUCUUUUAAAUGAGGACCUGUAUGAAUGGCGGAACGAGGGCUUAACUGUCUCCUUUUUCUAGUCAAUGAAAUUGAUCUGCCCGUGCAGAAGCGGGCAUAACCAUACAAGACGAGAAGACCCUUUGGAGCUUAAGAUAAAAGGCCAACUAUGUCAAAGGUCCCAAUAAAAUUCAAACCAAACAAACAGUUAACUGGCCACUACCUUCGGUUGGGGCGACCACGGGGGAAAAUAAAGCCCCCACGCAGAAUGGGGAUCACACCCUAAACUAAGAGGGACACCUCUAAGUCACAGAACAUCUGACCAAAAGAUCCGGCCAACCAAGCCGAUCAACGGACCAAGUUACCCUAGGGAUAACAGCGCAAUCCCCUCCAAGAGUUCAUAUCGACAAGGGGGUUUACGACCUCGAUGUUGGAUCAGGACAUCCUAAUGGUGCAGCCGCUAUUAAGGG